AGGAGAAAUAGGUCUUCAUCUUGUGAGAGAUUGGCAGUUAUAGUCAUGGGUCUUCUUGCUGUGAUUUCUCCUCUCUAUAUCGACCGAAGAGAGGUCAUCGAUCCAGAGGAAGAAGAGGCUAGCUUAGAUUUCGAAUCUUGGGUUGGUGGUUCUUCUGGUGGGAUUCUGGUUAUUCUCUUGAUUCUGGCUUUGGUUUUGAAGUGUAAAGCGUCUUUCGGAAACUAAAGAGGUUUGAGACUUAAGAUGAGGAAAGAACCCUUUUAAGUCUUUUUCUCUAUGGCUUGUUGAUAUAUGCUUCUCACUUCUCAGUUUUACAUAUCUCAUAGUUCUUCUAAUAUCUCUUAUUAGAGAAUAGUAAGUAGUUAAUAUUAUUAACUUAAAUGUUUAUUAAUCUUGCUUUUGCUUUUUGUUUAUAUAUAUUUAUCAAGUAACAUAUAUGCAUAGAAAACAUAAUUAGGAUUCUGAUUUUAAAAUCUUGUAUUGGGUUACCUCAAAUGGUUAUGUAGUUUUGCCUCCAUAACUAAAAAGUGUAUCAUAAAUGAAUUUAACUGGAGCUCGCGAUGGUGAAGGAAUUGGCUUGAAAAGAAGAGAAAUUCUAGUUGUAAAAUACCUAUUGGACUAAGUCUUGCAAUGAGCGUAACUCUCGUAUUUAGUUGCCACCAUUAAGUUUGGAAUCCUAAACAGACUGUCGGAGAAAGGUGAGGAUGACCUCAAGUCAUCAUGCCUCUCAUGUCUUGGGCGACACACUUGCUACAAUAGCUGAGACAAAAUGGUCGCAUUCCCAAACACCUGGCUCUCAAAUAUUGUAAGAUUAGUCAGAGACCCGAGUAUUAAAAGAAAAACAAAAAAAGUGUUAGCUAUCAGGUUUUUUCUUUUUACAUAGUUUUCACAGAAGGUGUGUGAGUAUAUAGCAUUGUUGAUGUUAACAAUUUUAACCAAGAACUCAUCAACCUUAAUGAAACAAAGUCUCAUAAAUUUUACACCGUGAAGGAAAAAUGUAAAGAAUGAAUAGCUCUCUACAUCCAAUAACAAAAAACAACAAAUAAAACAAGAUCAAGCCUAUCAAUACAACACAUUGAUCACAAUCCAAACACACAGCCCACUGCCACCAAAAUUGUAGCAACAAAUAUUAACAAACGAUUGCUACUGAAGCGAUCAUCGGCGCCAUUACAAACGUCGUUGGCGCCACUAAAGCAGCCGGGUUUCGUUACCUUAGCAACACCUCCAUCCAAAACAAAGCUACUAUUCUUCUUCCCACUGCUAAACAACACACACCAGAAAUAAGGACCCCCACCAUCUGAACCAGAC
This is a long non-coding RNA of Cannabis sativa, 1308 nucleotides long. RefSeq lists it as uncharacterized. The record is from RefSeq and is a predicted model, not a curated record. The transcript is spliced from 2 exons. Lineage: Eukaryota; Viridiplantae; Streptophyta; Magnoliopsida; Rosales; Cannabaceae.